GCGGCCUUAAGUCUAUCCCGAAUCACCUUUACCUUCUUCAUAGCCUGGUGAACCAAGUCGGGACCAAGAAUAUUCGACUCCCCAAUCUCAAACCAACCAAUAGGAUACCUACAACUCCUACUAUAUAAUGCUUCAAAAGAAGCCAUGCCGAUACUACAAUGAUAGCUAUUAUUGUAAGAAAACUCUACCAAAGGUAGAUGGUCAUCCAAUUGCCAC
RNAcentral lists this long non-coding RNA (216 nucleotides) under Capsicum annuum. RNAcentral's name for it is "long non-coding RNA (CANN_LNC019461)". The record is from RNAcentral. Lineage: Eukaryota; Viridiplantae; Streptophyta; Magnoliopsida; Solanales; Solanaceae.